CAGUCGCCACGGGAACACAGAGGGUGCAAGCGUUAAUCGGAAUUACUGGGCGUAAAGCGCGCGUAGGUGGUUUGUUAAGUUGGAUGUGAAAUCCCCGGGCUCAACCUGGGAACUGCAUCCAAAACUGGCAAGCUAGAGUAUGGUAGAGGGUGGUGGAAUUUCCUGUGUAGCGGUGAAAUGCGUAGAUAUAGGAAGGAACACCAGUGGCGAAGGCGACCACCUGGACUGAUACUGACACUGAGGUGCGAAAGCGUGGGGAGCAAACAGGAUUAGAUACCCGCGUAGUCCCUGUCUCUUAUAC
Molecule: ribosomal RNA, 301 nt
Filed under: uncultured bacterium
Lineage: Bacteria
Description: partial 16S ribosomal RNA
Rfam family: Bacterial small subunit ribosomal RNA
Source: RNAcentral